CAUAGCCGCGGUAAUACGGAGGGUGCAAGCGUUAUCCGGAUUUAUUGGGUUUAAAGGGUCCGUAGGCGGACUUAUAAGUCAGUGGUGAAAGCCUGUCGCUUAACGAUAGAACUGCCAUUGAUACUGUAAGUCUUGAGUAUAUUUGAGGUAGCUGGAAUAAGUAGUGUAGCGGUGAAAUGCAUAGAUAUUACUUAGAACACCAAUUGCGAAGGCAGGUUACCAAGAUAUAACUGACGCUGAGGGACGAAAGCGUGGGUAGCGAACAGGAUUAGAGACCCCUGUAGUCCCUGUCUCUUAUACA
This 301-nucleotide ribosomal RNA is filed under the name uncultured bacterium. RNAcentral describes it as "partial 16S ribosomal RNA". It matches the Rfam family "Bacterial small subunit ribosomal RNA", at positions 512 to 808 of the family's 1533-position model. The record is from RNAcentral.